RNAcentral lists this small nuclear RNA (99 nucleotides) under Choloepus hoffmanni (Hoffmann's two-fingered sloth). The record is from RNAcentral. Lineage: Eukaryota; Metazoa; Chordata; Mammalia; Pilosa; Megalonychidae.
UUGCUUCAGUAGCACAUGUACUAAAAUUGGAAUGAUACAGAGAAGAUUAGCAUGGCCCCUGUGCAAGGAUGACAAAUUCAUGAAGUGUUCCAUAUUUUU